RNAcentral lists this long non-coding RNA (412 nucleotides) under Hordeum vulgare. RNAcentral's name for it is "long non-coding RNA (HVUL_LNC013695)". Lineage: Eukaryota; Viridiplantae; Streptophyta; Magnoliopsida; Poales; Poaceae. The record is from RNAcentral.
GCUAGACAUUUAUUACAAACACAAAUCAAAAGUAGGGAAAACAGAUGGUAGAUACAAUAAGCUUCUGAAGUCAGAACAUAUGAAGUGCAGAUGACUGUGCCAUUCAAUGCUAUAUUUGGUAGCAGAAGAAAUAGAUCUGAGCUCUAAUUAUUAAACAUUAGCUAUACUUGUUAUCUAAUCAGCUCGUCGAAACAUAAAUUCCUUCAGUCAGAUUAUGAUACUGCAUUAUUUGAGAUUAGCUAGAGUAGUUACCCUCUUCUCUCUGGCCAAGAAGACAUGGCCAAACUUGCCCCUCCCAAGUGCUUUCCCAGGCCUUAUUUGCUAGCCAAAAUAGAGUUAAGAAUGAUUGCAUUACUGCGCCUUCCAGGGCUUUGUGAAGCAUUCCAGAGUACUCUUUGUUUUCCAACCCCUG